UCUAAUCAUUUACCACAUAUUCACAUCAUCGUAAACUAGACUUAACAUUCCAAAAUUUCAAAUAAGAGAGAUCUUCUAACACUUUUACAUGGUAUAUCCAUUUCGAUUCAUCGACAACAUUUCAUUACAUACAAAAUAUGCUUAUACAACAAUAACAUAAUAACCAACAAGACUUGCCCAUAAUUUUGAAUAGCUCUCCACUGCCUUAACCCAAUUCAAAACAUCUCAAAGAGUGACAAGCUGACCUGAAGGAUUUAUAUAACAACGGAGUGAGCUAAAAACAACUCAGCAAGUGACAAAAUAUAUUCAAAACAAAAGGAACGAUUUCAAACAAGUAAGGUAUCAUAAUGCAAGGCAGAAUACAAUAAUUCUCAAGGAUAUCAUCUCAUUAGAUACAAAAUCAUGUGUCAUGUCAUUCAAAACAUAUUUGGUUCAUAAUAAAUGGAGCAUAGAAUAAUUGGAGCAUAGAGUAAUUAGAGCAUAUAAAUAGCAUAUAAAAUGUUCCGGAGCAUAUCAAUGACAUAUGAAAUAUUUCGGAGCAUAACAAUAGCAAAUGAAACAUUUCGGAGCAUAUCAAAGGCGUAUGAAAUGUUUCAGAGCAUAUCAAUAACGAAUGAAACAUUUCGGAACAUAUCAAUGGUAUGUGAAAUAUUUCAAAGCAUAUCAACGACAUAUGAAUCAUUUCGGAACAUAUCAAAGAACGAAUACGGAACAAAAGCUCAAACGUCGAAUUUGACGUUACAUUCAUAUCAUUCUCAUCCAAAGAACAUAUAGAAACACAUAAUAAAAGCUCUGGAUAUCAUAUCAAACACAUAGAAGGUGAAGUGAGACCAUAACAUAAUAUGAUAUAUCCAUUUCUAAAUGACCGCCAAACAUAAGUCUCUCACGUUUGGGAGCUCCAUCCACCUAUGUCUGAGUGAAGUCAUAGGGGGCUGGCAGAGCAUCACAGGCUCUAUGUAUAACUCCCUUUACCAUUUCUGGCAAAGGUUUACAAUAUCCCACAAACACUAGAGUACAAAGGGACAGUAUGAACAAUAAAUAGCACAUAUCGGAAGCACACGUGGAACAACAAAACGUACAUGUGUCUUUACGAGUCAAUACGAUGCAAGCAUAAUCUUUCAUAACUAUAUUCAGAUUUGAAAGGAAAUGAAAGCAAGAGCAUAAGGAUUCCAAGUAAUCACAUAUAACUCAAUUCAAAUAAGAAGGUUAGAUGAAUUCAAUGUCCAAAGGAAGGAAACUGGAAUAGGCACAUACCGAAAGCAAAUACGGAACAAUGGAAUAUACAUGUACUUAUAUGAGUCAAUACGAUAUAGCAUAAACGUUACACAAUAGUUUUCAAGAAUGCAAAUAAUUUUAAGGACAAGAGCAUACAAGAAUUCAAAGCAGUAAUAUAAAGCUCAAUUGAACAAGAAAGCUAAAUUAAAAUCAAUUUCCAAAGGAAUGAAACCGGAAUAUGCGAAAUCGAUCAAAGCUCGAUUUUUGGUAGAAUUUGAGAGGCACAAUGAACAAAUGAUUCAAACUAUCAAUUGUGCUCCAAUAUACUCAAGAAAGCUAUCGUGGAAAGAUAUUUCAAUCUAUUUUCAAAUAAAACAAGUCUCGUAUGAAUCAAAGUUUCCAACAAAGAGUUACAAUUGAUUUAGUAACCAAAGGUCAGAAAACAAAAUCAUUGUUUUGCAUAAUCCAUAGGGUCGGAUUCAAUAGAUAACUGAGCAGACAUUUGGACUCUAAAUAUUUCAAUCCAGGUAUCCAAAGAAAGAUCUACGAGUCUAGUUUCCAAUGUAAUAAGUUUUGAAUAAAUCAAAGUUUCCAACAGAGACUUAUAGGCAGUUCAGUAUUAAAAUGUUAGAAAUUAUGAUCCCUGUUUUUCAGAAUUCGUAGGCUCAUUUGAAACAGAAGUUUGGAUAGGCAAACUUACUCCGAAUUCUUAAAAUAACCUAUCAAAAGAAAGGUUUAUGAGUCUAUAUUCAGAUCAAACAAGUUUUGUCCAAAUCAGAGGUCAGUGCAUAAAGUUAUAACCAUAACAAAGUAGAAAUGUCAGAAUCUCGGAAGUUUCAUAGAUUUAAGUCGUUACGUCUAAACAGAAGAUAUAUCAAAUGCAAGGCUAGAACAAUUCAAAGUUUUUCAUAUUCAAAGCAAAUGCAGAGAUAAAAUUAUAGUAAGGAAAGAUCAGGACACUUGCAAUAGGAAAGAUUAGAAAGCUUGCAAUAGGAAGGAUCGAAACACUUGCACGAGGAAAGAUCAUAAUACUUACAAUAAGAAAGAUUAGAACACUUGCAGGAGAAAAGAUCGGGACACUUGCAAUAGGAAAGAUUAGAAAGCUUGCAAUAGGAAGGAUCGAAACACUUGCACUAGAAAGGAUCAAAACACUUGCAAAAGAAAAGAUUAGGACACUUGCCUUUCGAAGGUUUUGAUCAAAAGAUCCGAAGAAAGUGUACGCUGGAAUCCUUCUUCUAUUUUUCCUCUAUGUCCUCUCCCUGUUUCAUUUUCUGUAUCUAUCUUCAUUUUUAUCCCAAUCGUAGCCAUAGCCACGGUCGCAGCCACAGCCCCUUCCACUGCACUACUUCCUUUCUCCAUUCUCCAUUCUUUUUCUUUCCCAAACACAGCUGCCGCAACCAUCGCCGCUACCGCAGCCACCUUCCCCUCUUCCUCUUCUUCUUCCUUUCCUUCUCUUCUUCCUCUCCUUCCCUUCUUCCUUCCUCUUCCUCUUUCCCUGCCACAGCUGCAGCUGCCACAGCCGCAGCCACAGCUCUCCUUCCUCUCUUCUACCUCACCUUAAUUUCUUCCUUUCCUUCUUCUCUUCCAGCUGCAGCUGCCACCGCCGUAGCCCCAGCCUCUUCUUCUUUCCCUUCUCUUCUUCUCCUCUUCUUCCCCUUUCCUCCCCGACGCACAGCGUCACCUCUCCUCUGUUUCCUCCUGUUGGAAACAGAAGUGCCGCAGCCACCUCUUCCCUCCUCUUCUUCUUCUCUUUCUUUUCCUCUCCUUCUCUUCUCCUCCCUGGCGCCACACACACCCUCUCCUCUGUUUCCUCCUGUAGGAAACNN
This 3041-nucleotide long non-coding RNA is filed under the name Musa acuminata (dwarf banana). Its description in RNAcentral is "long non-coding RNA (MACU_LNC006462)". The record is from RNAcentral. Lineage: Eukaryota; Viridiplantae; Streptophyta; Magnoliopsida; Zingiberales; Musaceae.